Molecule: ribosomal RNA, 797 nt
Filed under: uncultured bacterium
Lineage: Bacteria
Description: bacterial SSU rRNA
Rfam family: Bacterial small subunit ribosomal RNA
Source: RNAcentral
AGAGUUUGAUCAUGGCUCAGAUUGAACGCUGGCGGCAGGCCUAACACAUGCAAGUCGGGCGGUAGCACAGAGAGCUUGCUCUCGGGUGACGAGCGGCGGACGGGUGAGUAAUGUCUGGGAAACUGCCUGAUGGAGGGGGAUAACUACUGGAAACGGUAGCUAAUACCGCAUAACGUCGCAAGACCAAAGAGGGGGACCUUCGGGCCUCUUGCCAUCAGAUGUGCCCAGAUGGGAUUAGCUAGUAGGUGGGGUAACGGCUCACCUAGGCGACGAUCCCUAGCUGGUCUGAGAGGAUGACCAGCCACACUGGAACUGAGACACGGUCCAGACUCCUACGGGAGGCAGCAGUGGGGAAUAUUGCACAAUGGGCGCAAGCCUGAUGCAGCCAUGCCGCGUGUAUGAAGAAGGCCUUCGGGUUGUAAAGUACUUUCAGCGGGGAGGAAGGUGUUGUGGUUAAUAACCACAGCAAUUGACGUUACCCGCAGAAGAAGCACCGGCUAACUCCGUGCCAGCAGCCGCGGUAAUACGGAGGGUGCAAGCGUUAAUCGGAAUUACUGGGCGUAAAGCGCACGCAGGCGGUCUGUCAAGUCGGAUGUGAAAUCCCCGGGCUCAACCUGGGAACUGCAUUCGAAACUGGCAGGCUAGAGUCUUGUAGAGGGGGGUAGAAUUCCAGGUGUAGCGGUGAAAUGCGUAGAGAUCUGGAGGAAUACCGGUGGCGAAGGCGGCCCCCUGGACAAAGACUGACGCUCAGGUGCGAAAGCGUGGGGAGCAAACAGGAUUAGAUACCCUAGUAGUCC